This 496-nucleotide ribosomal RNA is filed under the name uncultured bacterium. Its description in RNAcentral is "partial 16S ribosomal RNA". It matches the Rfam family "Bacterial small subunit ribosomal RNA", at positions 29 to 507 of the family's 1533-position model. The record is from RNAcentral.
AUGAACGCUGGCGGCGUGCCUAAUACAUGCAAGUCGAGCGAACGGACGAGAAGCUUGCUUUUCUGAUGUUAGCGGCGGACGGGUGAGUAACACGUGGAUAACCUACCUAUAAGACUGGGAUAACUUCGGGAAACCGGAGCUAAUACCGGAUAAUAUUUUGAACCGCAUGGUUCAAAAGUGAAAGACGGUCUUGCUGUCACUUAUAGAUGGAUCCGCGCUGCAUUAGCUAGUUGGUAAGGUAACGGCUUACCAAGGCAACGAUGCAUAGCCGACCUGAGAGGGUGAUCGGCCACACUGGAACUGAGACACGGUCCAGACUCCUACGGGAGGCAGCAGUAGGGAAUCUUCCGCAAUGGGCGAAAGCCUGACGGAGCAACGCCGCGUGAGUGAUGAAGGUCUUCGGAUCGUAAAACUCUGUUAUUAGGGAAGAACACAUGUGUAAGUAACUGUGCACAUCUUGACGGUACCUAAUCAGAAAGCCACGGCUAACUACGUG